AAAUAAAUAAACUAUCUAAGAACAGCAAAGAAAAACGAUAAAGAAAAGACGAGAAAAAAAAUAAAGAAAAGACAAUAGAGUCUCCUCCCACACUUAAAUCGAACAUUGUCCCCAAUGUUUCGAAAUAAGAUAAGGGAAGAGUUACCUGACAACCUAUUGCUGACCACUGGUGCCCUCGCCAUCCUGAGUGGAUCCAUGGAGCAUGG
This 206-nucleotide long non-coding RNA is filed under the name Lathyrus oleraceus (garden pea). RNAcentral describes it as "Pisum sativum (pea) long non-coding RNA (PSAT_LNC025208)". The record is from RNAcentral. Lineage: Eukaryota; Viridiplantae; Streptophyta; Magnoliopsida; Fabales; Fabaceae.